Molecule: ribosomal RNA, 426 nt
Filed under: uncultured Gaiella sp.
Lineage: Bacteria; Bacillati; Actinomycetota; Thermoleophilia; Gaiellales; Gaiellaceae
Description: bacterial SSU rRNA
Rfam family: Bacterial small subunit ribosomal RNA
Source: RNAcentral
AGUGGGGAAUCUUGCGCAAUGGGCGAAAGCCUGACGCAGCGACGCCGCGUGAGGGAAGAAGGCCUUCGGGUUGUAAACCUCUUUCAGGAGGGACGAAGCCACUCGGGUGAAUAGCCCAGAGGGUGACGGUACCUCCAGAAGAAGCCCCGGCUAACUACGUGCCAGCAGCCGCGGUAAUACGUAGGGGGCAAGCGUUGUCCGGAUUUAUUGGGCGUAAAGCGCGUGUAGGCGGCCAGGCAGGUCCGUUGUGAAAACUGGAGGCUCAACCUCCAGACGUCGAUGGAAACCGCUUGGCUAGAGUCCGGAAGAGGAGAGUGGAAUUCCUGGUGUAGCGGUGAAAUGCGCAGAUAUCAGGAAGAACACCGAUGGCGAAGGCAGCUCUCUGGGACGGUACUGACGCUGAGACGCGAAAGCGUGGGGAGCGAA